Long non-coding RNA from Neofelis nebulosa (Clouded leopard), 691 nucleotides. RefSeq lists it as uncharacterized. NCBI's taxonomy places the organism in Eukaryota, Metazoa, Chordata, Mammalia, Carnivora, Felidae. The record is from RefSeq and is a predicted model, not a curated record. The transcript has 3 exons.
AAAGAAAUACAAUGUGUUAAAAUAAGGGUUAGUGCAUGUUAAUGGGUAUCUGUGCAUUUGUUUGCUUUUGAUAGCUUGAUUCCAUAAAGGUUGACUCAAAAGUCUUUAAUUCAGCUAAACACCAAGAAGUGCUUUCUGUGUCUAGAAUGGCAGACUCCCCAGAUGAAAACAAACACGAGGUUCUGUGCGUGCUGGAGCUGGCUAGUCAUGCUUCAGUGGUGACGGAGUGUCAGAGUUGCAAAAAUAAAAGCAGGAGUGCUUACGGCAUUGCUUUUUAUACCCACUGCCCUCGGAGUGAUGUUUCCAUCAAGAAAAAGGAUGCUUAUGAAAGAGAGCCCUAACUGCAAUCCUACCCACUUAAGACUGGUUAAUUUUUAAGAAACAGUAAGAAUGAGUUAGAUACGAACAAUCGACAGCACAAACAAAUGAACAGAAUUUGAUGAGAACGUCUGGCCUGCCAUCAACAUAUGCAGAAUUCUCAAAGAUUUGAAGCUGGAAACAAGACAUAUGGCCCUUAUUUGAAUUCACUGAGGACUAUGGGAAGACUCCCCACCCCAACCCAGCUGUAUUUUACAAUCAACUUCUGAAAAAGCCAGAAAAAUCCUUCAGAAAUAUAGUUUGAUUUGUGGCUCAUGACCCCAUUCGGCUAGGCUCUUGGCAUUAAAGAAUAUGUUUCAAAGUUGUCAAAGCA